GUGACACAGUUAGUAGCAUCUGUGCCACAUUAGUGUCUUCGGAGAAUCCUUAUAGCUUAAGACAGAUGGUUGAGGAGCUUCCUGUUGUAUCCAGAUUGUCCUGCAGGAUGGAAAGCUAUAACCCACUGGAUGAAGAUGAGGUUUGUCGGGGAGCCAGGAAAAGCCGAGUGGCCCUCUUGGAUGUCCCACGGCCCUGAGUUUUUUACUUUACAGCUACUGUUUAUUAAUUUUAAAUUCCCUGACUUAGGAGUAAACCAUUUCUGUGCUAUAACAGAGAUCAAUCUUAACAACACAGAAAACUCUUUUCUUGAAGUACCCUUUUCACAACCCUUUUUAUCACUUUCUGGAUUCGUAUUAAUUCUUCCCUUAUUUUUUCCAUCCAGAAACAACCAC
Molecule: long non-coding RNA, 393 nt
Organism: Bos taurus (domestic cattle)
Lineage: Eukaryota; Metazoa; Chordata; Mammalia; Artiodactyla; Bovidae
Source: Ensembl